This is a non-coding RNA of Oryza sativa Japonica Group (Japanese rice), 5316 nucleotides long. The record is from RefSeq and is a predicted model, not a curated record. Lineage: Eukaryota; Viridiplantae; Streptophyta; Magnoliopsida; Poales; Poaceae.
AUCAGUUUGUUACAAAGGAGAAAAAACCGCAACGUUCGAUCGACGAGAUCCAAAUAUUAAUCCCACACAAAUUAAAAUCCAAUCCAUUUUCCAAUUCCACAUUCCAUUCCAUUCCCACAUCGAUCGGUCACUGCACUCGCGCUCUCUUCGGACACCGUACGCACGCAGCGGCCGGCCGGCGACGUACGGCGAGAUCGGUGAUUCGAUCGAUUGGGGGCGAGGGCCAUGGCGCGGUCGAGCGCGGACGACAUGGAGCUGAAGCGGUCGUGCGAGGCCGGGAUCCUGAGCAAGGAGAAGGACCGGGAGACGGUGGUGAUGUCGAUGCGCGUCGCCAAGGGCCGCGGCGUCUGGGGCAAGGCCGGCAAGCUCGCCUCCCGCCACAUGGCCAAGCCCCGCGUCCUCGCCGUCACCACCAAGAAGAAAGGGCAGCGCACCAAGGCGUUCGUCCGGGUCCUCAAGUACUCCAAUGGCGGCGUCCUCGAGCCUGCCAAGGUGUACAAGAUGAAGCACCUCUCCAAGGUGGAGGUCGUCCCCAACGAUCCCAGCGGCUGCACAUUCCUCCUGGGGUUUGAUAACCUCCGGAGCCAGAGCGUGUCGCCUCCCCAAUGGACGAUGCGCAACAAGGACGACAGGAACCGCUUCCUCAUGUGCAUCCUCAACAUGUGCAAGGAGAUAUACGGUGCCAUUCCAAAGGUUGUUGGCAUGGACGUUGUGGAGAUGGCUAUGUGGGCAAAGGAUAAUACCACAGUAAAGGUUACUCAAGUGAGCACGAAAGAUGGACCCAUCGAAUCACUAGUAGGAGAGGCUGACUCGCAAGUUGCCAUUCAGAAAGACUUGGUCUUACAGACGGAAGAUGAGGAUACUGAGGCUCUCCUUGACACGUAUAUCAUGGCCAUUGGUGAAGCAGAGGCAUUUUCAGAACGAAUGAAGCGUGAACUCGUGGCACUUGAAUCUGCAAAUGUUUAUGCACUUAUGGAAACUGAAACCGUGAUAGAAGAGGUAUUGGAGGGCUUAGAAAUAGCUAGUAUAUGUGUUGAAGAUUUUGAUGAAUGGCUUGGUAUUUUCAAUGUAAAGCUUAGGCAUAUGAGAGAGGAUAUACAAUCUAUAGAAUGGCGUAAUAACAAGUUAGAGCUACAAUCUGAUAGUAAUGUGGCAUUGAUUGAUGAGCUUGACAAAAUGCUCGUGCUCCUGCAAAUACCACCUGAGUAUGAGGCAUCUUUAACUGGAGGUUCAUUCGAUGAAGGCAACAUGGUUAAGAACAUUGAAGCUUGUGAGUGGUUGACCAGUGCUAUAAAGAACCUAGAAGCAUCGAAUCUGGAUCCCAUAUACGUGAAAUUGCGUGCUGUAAGGGAGAAACGUGCAGAAUUUGUACUUCUAAAGUGCACAUUUGUGCGGAGGGCAUCCGAGUUUUUAAGGAAUUACUUUCCCAGUUUGAUUGAUUUUAUGCUAAAUGACAAAGGCAACUUCUCACAGAGAGGGCAACUCCAGAGGCCUGACCAUGCUGAUAUGAGGUACAAAUGCAGGACAUAUGCCCGACUUCUACAGUUCAUCAAGAACCUGGACAAGAGCUGUUUGAUGCCUUUACGGAAAUCUUACUGCCAUUCUCUUAACUUGUUAAUUCGACGGGAGGCUCGUGAGUUCUCCAGUGAACUCCGUGCUGGUUCAAAGGCAUCGAAGAGCAGUACACCAUUAUUUGAGGGUCCUGCAAGUGCAAACCAGUCGAUUAGUAUUACCGAUACUACUGCAGACGCAUACUGCAAAAUGAUUACGGUUUUCAUUCCACUGCUUGUUGACGAGAGCUCAUUCUUUGCACAUUUUAUGUGCUUUGAUGUUGCUGCGCUAGCUCCGUCAGAUGAAUCAGAUAACAAUAAUCCUGUUGCUGUUUCAGAACCUCCUGGAAGCAGUGCCAAACCAAUUAACAGUUCAGCUGAGUUGGGAGUACUAAACCAAUUCCUUCAAGAGUUGCUUGAUGGUAUUCAGGAGGACUUCUAUGCUAUAGUUGACUGGGCAUUCAAGCUAGAUCCAUUGAGUUGUAUAUCAAUGCAUGGCAUAACAGAUCGCUAUCUUUCUGGUCAGAAGGCAGAGGUUGCAGGAUAUGUGCAUGUUUUGCUAGAUGACUUGGAGACUAGAAUAUCCAUUUUAUUUAGCAGGUUUGUUGAUGAUGCCUGCUACCAGAUUGAGAAGUAUGAGCGCAAUGUGCGGCAAAUUGGAGUUGUACCCUAUAUUCCGAGGUUCUCACAACUUGCAGCACGUAUGGAGCAGUAUAUAAAUGGAUCCAGGGAUCUAGUUGAUCAGGCCUAUACAAAAAUUGUGACCAUUAUGUUUGUGACCCUCGAGAAAAUUGCUCAAGUGGAACCUAAAUAUGUUGACAUUGUACUAUUGGAGAAUUAUGCAGCUUUCCAGCACAGUCUGUACGAUUUAGCAAAUGUUGUACCAACACUUGCUAAGUAUUAUCACCAAGCUAGUGAAGCUUAUGAACAAGCUUGCUCACGCCACAUCAAUUUAGUCAUAUAUAUCCACUUCGAAAAAUUAUUCCAGUUUGCUCGGAAAAUUGAGGAACUAAUGUACAACAUGAGCCCUGAGGAGAUACCUUUCCAAGUUGGAAUGUCGAAGGUAGACUUCCGUAAGAUGUUGAAGUCCAGCUUAAGUGGUCUUGACAAGACAAUCAAUGCAAUGUAUAGAAAACUACAGAAGAAUAUUACGGCUGAAGAAUUACUUCCUUCUCUAUGGGAUAAAUGCAAGAAGGAGUUUCUUGACAAAUAUGCAACCUUCCUCAAAUUGAUUUCCAAAAUAUAUCCCAGUGAAACAGUAAUUUCAGUGAAUGAAAUGAAAGACACCCUAGCUUCCCUGUGACAACUUUGCUCUUGGAGCACAUCUACAAGGUACAUGUUCUUUGAUUUUUGCUGUUGUGCUUUUUACAUAUUAGUACCAUUUGUACUUUAUUGUAGGAUGUAUCGCAUAAUUAUUUUAUCUUUUUGGUCAAAUGUAUGUUUGAAGAAAAUACAAUUGAAUUUGGUAUUCACUAACAUUAUUUUGUCUCUUUUCAAAGACAGUAUAUAAGGCUUCUUUAAAACAUAUCAACUUUUUACCUGAUUUCAUCAGAACUUAAAUUGUUUGCUAUGAAAUACCUAUAUGUAAAUAAGUCCUGAAUUAGUGAGGACUGAACAAAAGAAUCGGCCAUGAUUACCAAAUGAAGUGCACUGUUUUUUCAGUACUGUUUCAAUACAAUAAUAAAAUGUGGUUAUUUUUCACCUGCCUAUUCUGAUUUACAGAGCACAGCCUUGAAAACCAUAUAAUUUUUAGGACUUCUAGUAUGUGCACGCUUGCUAAAAUAAUUGAACAUAUGAUCAUUUGAGCAAACUGGUUGAGUUUUUUUUGACACUAGAAGAGAACUGUAAUGUGGUUGAAUUUUGUCUCCAAAGGAAUCUAGGUUCUGUUUUGAAAUAAACAUACUAGUUAUUUUUUCGUGUGCGUGUUUUAGUAUAGCCAUGCUUGGAUGUGUUUAAAAGGUCUUAAAAUUUGGAGGCAUAAUACAUGAAGGGUAUUUUAAAGGACAUGAAUCUUUUGGAUGAUGUUUUGGUUCUUUUUUUCUUAUAUUCGCUUUGAGUGCAGCAAUUAUGUUUCUCAAAAAACUAUCAGUGCCAUCUUCUCGAUAUUUUAAAACAUUUUUGAACCAUUCUUAAGGCAUUUUAGGUAUUAUUAUUAAGUCUGCCAGGAUCAGUGGUGCUGUAGUGCGAUUGAUCAAUUAGUUUAAUGUUCUAAGUGAGUGUGGAAGAUAUGUAGUGACAAAGCAUUUGUAAUAGGUGGUAUUCAAACACACAACGAGCACAACAUGCAUGGCUUUAUCGUGUAUUAUGAUAAUGAUUUAAGUUGGAAAUGGCAAGAAUAUGAAACUGAACUUGAAAUGUAUUUUGCAUUGAAGAAUGGCAGUUAGAGCAUCUCCAACAGAUGGCUAACAGCAGUCCCAAAACUUCAUUUAGAAAUUAAGAUAAAAACCAGGCCUCCAACAGGUUCCCAAUUUUGCCGCAUUCCUAAUCCAGGUGCCAAAUCGAGCCAAAUUUUGGCACCGUUCCACACUCCCAAUAGAGCCAGCGCAGGAGAAAAUUGGCCAUCACGCAAUCUCGUGGAUCCUCUCAUCUCCUCGCUCUCUCCGAAUCCACCACCCGCCAAGGCCUCCACGGCCAACUAGCCUGCUGCUGCUUCCCUGGGCACUGCAUCGGAGCUUGCUCCAGGCCGGGCUGCCGGCCUCGUCAACCUCCUUCGGCCUCUUCGCACCGCCAUAUCGGGUUUGUCCGCUGCACCGUUCCAGCAUCGGGGUCGCUCGCUCGUCCGCAGCACCCAAGUCGCAUCGAGGUCGUAGGUCGUAGCCCUCACCUCAUCGAUCGCCGCAUCAGGGUCCCUCGUCCAAUGCACCUGCGCCGAAUCGAGGUAGUCCAUCUUUGCCGCAUCCCCAACAUUCUCCCUCAUCGGCAGAUGCUCACAAGAAUACUCAUGGGUUAUGACUUUUGUGAUUUCUGUGAACUUGUUCUUCAGUUGCAAGAAACAAAUGAUCAGGCUGAUAUUGCCUCCUUGAUUACCCCAAUUCUUUUAUUUGUUUGAUUACGAACAGAAUUCCGUGGAGUGCAGAUUUUUGUUUCAAGUGCAUGACAAUUAUUACAGUGUACUAGUGGCAUGACAUUUGGUCUUGUUGCUUACUAAUUGUGUUCCUUUUUAUUUUGCAACUUAUGUGACCUUGAGCUUUUGAAGGGAUGAAGAGAAGGAGAGAACAGGAGAUACCAGUUUUUUGUGGCAAUAGUUGUUGGAGUCCAGAUUUCCUGGGAGUUGUUACGAAUUUUUAUGCUUCAGAAAAAUAAUAUUUGUUUGCAUCUACAUGAGUUUUGCUAUGCAAAGUUUCCCUUUCGUUCCGUGAAUUUGUUCGAUAAGUAUGACCCAGUAGUUUGUAAAUGAGGUGGAAGGGCGCCUGGCGGAGGGCUGAAGAGAAGAGGCAACAGAGUAUGUUAUAUAUACUGGUGGAGAGAAAGAGAGCACUAAGGCGAUCAUAGAAAAAUAUUAAGUUGAGCUAGCGAGUUGAAUACUAAAGUCUUAUGAUGCCAGAUUUGAUAGAGGAGGCAAGUAUGUCGCGAGAUCCCAUUUAACCAAAAGGGGUUUUUGUUUUCUCUUACCAUUCUUAAGAAGGCAUCCGAAGGUAUCAUGGUAGUUGUAUUAGAGAUAUCAAAAAUUUUAGAGAGAAUCUACUACAUACCACAUACCACUGACUUUAGUCUAGUUUAACAGUAUGCCACUGUUCUAUAAUAUAUGCCAUCACUUUUUGCUUAA